CCCGCACAAGCGGCGGAGUAUGCGGAUUAAUUCGAUGCAACGCGAAGAACCUUACCAAGGCUUGACAUACACCGGUAACGCCCAGAGAUGGGUGCCCCUUUGUGGUCGGUGGACAGGUGGUGCAUGGUUGUCGUCAGCUCGUGUCGUGAGAUGUUGGGUUAAGUCCCGCAACGAGCGCAACCCUCGUCCUAUGUUGCCAGCGGGUCAUGCCGGGGACUCAUGGGAGACUGCCGGGGUCAACUCGGAGGAAGGUGGGGAUGACGUCAAAUCAUCAUGCCCCUUAUGUCUUGGGCUUCACGCAUGCUACAAUGGCCGGUACAAAGGGCUGCGAUACCGCGAGGUGGAGCGAAUCCCAGAAAGCCGGUCUCAGUUCGGAUUGGGGUCUGCAACUCGACCCCAUGAAGUCGGAGUCGCUAGUAAUCGCAGAUCAGCAACGCUGCGGUGAAUACGUUCCCGGGCCUU
RNAcentral lists this ribosomal RNA (462 nucleotides) under uncultured Curtobacterium sp. RNAcentral describes it as "bacterial SSU rRNA". It matches the Rfam family "Bacterial small subunit ribosomal RNA", at positions 920 to 1382 of the family's 1533-position model. Lineage: Bacteria; Bacillati; Actinomycetota; Actinomycetes; Micrococcales; Microbacteriaceae. The record is from RNAcentral.